UGGGGCUCGGUUCGACGGUCGCGGUCGCGCUGGCCUGGUGCGCCGGCGUGGCCGUGCUGUUCCUGUCCGCGGCGUCCUGG
RNAcentral lists this transfer RNA (80 nucleotides) under Pseudonocardia autotrophica. Its description in RNAcentral is "tRNA-Thr". The record is from RNAcentral. Lineage: Bacteria; Bacillati; Actinomycetota; Actinomycetes; Pseudonocardiales; Pseudonocardiaceae.